AGUGAACGCUGGCGGUAGGCCUAACACAUGCAAGUCGAACGGCAGCACAGUAAUAUCUUGCUCUUAUGGGGUGCCAGUGGCGGAAGGGUCAGGAAUAUAUCGUAAUCUACUUUUUCGUGUGGGAUAACGUAGGUAAACUUACGCUAAUACCGCAUACGACCUACCGUGGAAAGCAGUGGAUCGUCUGACCUUUCGCGAUUGAAUGAGCCGAUGUCGGGUUAGCUAGUUGGCGGGGCAAAUGCCCACUAAGGCGACGAUCCGUAGCUGGUAGGAGUGGAUGGGUAGCCAGACUGAAAGUGAGACACGGUCCAGACUCAUAGGGGAGGGACCAGUGGGGAAUAUUGGACAAGGGGUGGAAGCUUGAUCCAGACAUACCGCGUGGGUAAAGAACGACUUCGGGUUGUAAAGCACUUUUGUUGGGAAAGAAAACCAGUAGGUUUAUAACGAGCUGUUAUGGCGGUAACCAAAGAAUAAAGACCGGCUAACUUCGGG
Molecule: ribosomal RNA, 492 nt
Filed under: uncultured bacterium
Lineage: Bacteria
Description: partial 16S ribosomal RNA
Rfam family: Bacterial small subunit ribosomal RNA
Source: RNAcentral